RNAcentral lists this ribosomal RNA (440 nucleotides) under uncultured bacterium. RNAcentral describes it as "partial 16S ribosomal RNA". It matches the Rfam family "Bacterial small subunit ribosomal RNA", at positions 338 to 795 of the family's 1533-position model. The record is from RNAcentral.
CCUACGGGAGGCAGCAGUAGGGAAUAUUGCUCAAUGGGGGAAACCCUGAAGCAGCAACGCCGCGUGGAGGAUGAAGGUUUUCGGAUUGUAAACUCCUUUUGUUAGAGAAGAUAAUGACGGUAUCUAACGAAUAAGCACCGGCUAACUCCGUACCAGCAGCCGCGGGACUACGGAGGGUGCAAGCGUUACUCGGAAUCACUGGGCGUAAAGCGCGCGUAGGCGGGAUAGCAAGUCAGAUGUUAAAUCCUAUGGCUUAACCAUAGAACUGCAUUUGAAACUGGUAUUCUAGAGUAUGGGAGAGGUAGGUGGAAUUCUUGGUGUAGGGGUAAAAUCCGUAGAGAUCAAGAGGAAUACUCAUUGCGAAGGCGACCUGCUAGAACAUAACUGACGCUGAGGCGCGAAAGCGUGGGGAGCAAACAGGAUUAGAUACCCCAGUAGUC